AACAGGAUUAGAUACCCUGGUAGUCCACGCUGUAAACGAUGUCGAUUUGGAGGUUGUGCCCUUGAGGCGUGGCUUCCGGAGCUAACGCGUUAAAUCGACCGCCUGGGGAGUACGGCCGCAAGGUUAAAACUCAAAUGAAUUGACGGGGGCCCGCACAAGCGGUGGAGCAUGUGGUUUAAUUCGAUGCAACGCGAAGAACCUUACCUACUCUUGACAUCCAGAGAACUUAGCAGAGAUGCUUUGGUGCCUUCGGGAACUCUGAGACAGGUGCUGCAUGGCUGUCGUCAGCUCGUGUUGUGAAAUGUUGGGUUAAGUCCCGCAACGAGCGCAACCCUUAUCCUUUGUUGCCAGCGGUUCGGCCGGGAACUCAAAGGAGACUGCCAGUGAUAAACUGGAGGAAGGUGGGGAUGACGUCAAGUCAUCAUGGCCCUUACGAGUAGGGCUACACACGUGCUACAAUGGCGUAUACAAAGAGAAGCGACCUCGCGAGAGCAAGCGGACCUCAUAAAGUACGUCGUAGUCCGGAUUGGAGUCUGCAACUCGACUCCAUGAAGUCGGAAUCGCUAGUAAUCGUAGAUCAGGAUGCUACGGUGAAUACGUUCCCGGGCCUUGUACACACCGCCCGUCACACCAUGGGAGUGGGUUGCAAAAGAAGUAGGUAGCUUAACCUUCGGGAGGGCGCUUACCACUUUGUGAUUCAUGACUGGGGUGAAGUCGUAACAAGGUAACCGUAGGGAACCUGCGGCUGGAUCACCUCCCUU
This 761-nucleotide ribosomal RNA is filed under the name uncultured bacterium. RNAcentral's name for it is "bacterial SSU rRNA". It matches the Rfam family "Bacterial small subunit ribosomal RNA", at positions 771 to 1533 of the family's 1533-position model. The record is from RNAcentral.